CCUCAUGCCCUCAUCGUCAUUAUUGUCUCCCGUUCGCUUCUUCUUCUUCCACAGAUUCCAAUCCCCACUUCAAUGCUCUCCCCUUGGUCUGCCAUUACUGCCACCUCCUCUUCCCCCCUCCCCUUAAAACAUCAUCAAAACUAGUAACGGUGGUCGACUCCCCUUCCUUACUACUGACGAUGGCUAACUUCCUUUUCAUUUCUCUCCUCCAAACCUAUUAGAAUCUCGUUCUCGAUCUGUGGCAUAAGAGGUGUCUCGAUGAUGGCAAGCCAAAAUCCGAGAAGGCCAAGUAGAUUUGAAGAAGUAGGCACAUCGAUGAUGGAAGGGGUUCUCGUCCAAGUUGAUUUUGUGCUUGACUGAGGUUCCUCAUUUUAAUAUCGUGGUGCCAAUUCUGAGAUAGACGAGUGUGGGAUGUUCAGGGGUUUUCUUUUUGUGUGAGAUAGUGAAGGUUUCCCUUGGUGUUGGGUUUUUUGUCCUUGCUCUUUUGUUUUGGUUCUUCAUCCUUGCUCCUUGCUUUGAGUCUUGUAGCCUCAAUUUCUAGGUUUGAUUUGUUUCUGGUUCAAACGAGGAGGGCGAAGAGAUGACAGAUAUGUUCCUUUGAUUCUUCAUCGGUUAGCUUUGCCAUCCACUAUUCACCUCCCUUUGCCAGAUAUGAUUUCCUCUACGGUUUGGGUUCAAAUGUUUGAUUUUGGUUCCCUUGAUUUCUCGAAGAUGUUUCACCGGCAAUGAAGGAUGAAGAUGAGGGGGGGAAGGGAGAUCCGUUAGCUUGGGGUGAGAUGGAUGAGAUUACGUAUCAAAGUCAAAGAAAUAUCUGACAUGGCAAGGGAGAGAAACGUGAUGUGGACGUCCAAUGAUGUACAAAACAAUUAAAUGUUCAAAGUUAACAGUGGCAAAAUUAUACUAAAUUAAAAAACUUUGGGGCUAAUGUUAUAACAAGGGAUUUGACCUUUAACCAUCCUUACCAAGAAAUCAUUGAACUGAAAGGCCUCGCUUAAUUUCAUGUAUAGGGAAGCUAAUAUUAAUGUUGAUUGUUUAGCAAGAACUUGUCAUUCACUUGAUAAUGUUUUGCACAUCUUUGAUCAACAACUAGCUUUUUUAUAAGGGUGUGAUAGUUUGUAACAUCACAAAAUUAAUUCAAGAUUAAUUAAGCUAAUUAAAAGCAAAUGAGUAAUUUUAAAGGAAUACUUAGAUAUAUAUAAUUGUAGUUAGAAAAUUAUUAUUUAUAUUUAAUCUAGAUAAAAUUUUAAGUUAU
This is a long non-coding RNA of Prosopis cineraria, 1252 nucleotides long. RefSeq lists it as uncharacterized. The transcript has 3 exons. The record is from RefSeq and is a predicted model, not a curated record. Lineage: Eukaryota; Viridiplantae; Streptophyta; Magnoliopsida; Fabales; Fabaceae.